UGGGGAAAUUUUGGACCAUGGGGGCAACCCUGAAUCCAGCAAUGCCGCGUAAGUGAAGAAGGCCUUCGGGUUGUAAAGCUCUUUUGUCAGGGAAGAAACGGUGUUUCCUAAUACGGAAUGCUAAUGACGGUACCUGAAGAAUAAGCACCGGCUAACUACGUGC
RNAcentral lists this ribosomal RNA (163 nucleotides) under uncultured bacterium. RNAcentral describes it as "partial 16S ribosomal RNA". It matches the Rfam family "Bacterial small subunit ribosomal RNA", at positions 354 to 508 of the family's 1533-position model. The record is from RNAcentral.